AGGCAGAGUGAAGACAACCAUCUACAAGCCAAGGAGAGAAGCCUCCGAAGAUAUCGACCCUGCUGAAACCUUGAUCUUAGGCUCUAGCCUCUAGAACUUUGAGAAUGUAAGUUUCUGUUGCUAAGCCACCCAGUCUGUGGUCCUUUGUUAUGGCAGCCCUGAGAAAACAUAAUGUAUACCCUUAGGCUAUGUCUAAUUUCCCAGAGGAAUGACCCAGGAAGAACUUAGUGAACACUCUGUUGGAAACAUCAGUCUUCUUCACUUGUGCUCAGAUAAACCAUGGACUGUAGCUGUGUUGACGAAGAGUCUGGCAUUUUCUACAAAGGGCAGGUUCCUUGUAUGGGAAGAGUGCUAUGAGUCCCCAAAGCAAAAGGCCCACCUCACUUUUCAACAGCCACACCAAACUUGUCCAGCUUUGCUAAAAGCUACAGAGAGU
RNAcentral lists this long non-coding RNA (436 nucleotides) under Rhinopithecus bieti (black snub-nosed monkey). Its description in RNAcentral is "lncRNA (ENSRBIG00000046640.1)". Lineage: Eukaryota; Metazoa; Chordata; Mammalia; Primates; Cercopithecidae. The record is from RNAcentral.